GAUGAAGAACGUAGCAAAAUGCGAUACUUGGUGUGAAUUGCAGAAUCCCGUGAACCAACGAGUUUUUGAACGCAAGUUGCGCCCGAAGCCUUUUGGCCGAGGGCACGUCUGCCUGGGCGUCACGCAUCGCGUCGCCCCCCACAAUUCUCCGUAAAGGGAACAUGUGUUUUGGGGGCGGAUAUUGGUCUCCCGUGCUCAUGGCGUGGUUGGCCGAAAUAGGAGUCCUUUCGAUGGACGCACGAACUAGUGGUGGUCGUAAAAACCCUCGUCUUUUGUUUCGUGCUGUUGCUCGCAAGGUAAACUCUUUAAAAACCCCAAUGUGUCGUCUCUUGACGACGCUUCGACCGCGACCCCAGGUCAGGCGGGACUACCCGCUGAGUUUAAGCAUAUCAAUAAGCGGAGGA
This 404-nucleotide unclassified non-coding RNA is filed under the name soil metagenome. RNAcentral describes it as "partial contains 5.8S ribosomal RNA, internal transcribed spacer 2, and large subunit ribosomal RNA". The stretch from base 1 to 122 matches the Rfam family "5.8S ribosomal RNA", at positions 35 to 154 of the family's 154-position model. The record is from RNAcentral.